RNAcentral lists this ribosomal RNA (451 nucleotides) under uncultured bacterium. RNAcentral describes it as "bacterial SSU rRNA". It matches the Rfam family "Bacterial small subunit ribosomal RNA", at positions 942 to 1385 of the family's 1533-position model. The record is from RNAcentral.
GGGUCUGACUCCGAUGCUCUAGAUUACGCGAAGAACUUACCUACUCUUGACAUCCAGAGAAACCAGCGGAGACGCAGGUGUGCCUUCGGGAACUCUGAGACAGGUGCUGCAUGGCUGUCGUCAGCUCGUGUUGUGAAAUGUUGGGUUAAGUCCCGCAACGAGCGCAACCCUUAUCCUUGUUUGCCAGCGAGUAAUGUCGGGAACUCCAGGGAGACUGCCGGUGAUAAACCGGAGGAAGGUGGGGACGACGUCGAGUCAUCAUGGCCCUUACGAGUAGGGCUACACACGUGCUACAAUGGCGCAUACAGAGGGCAGCCAACUUGCGAAAGUGAGCGAAUCCCAAAAAGUGCGUCGUAGUCCGGAUUGGAGUCUGCAACUCGACUCCAUGAAGUCGGAAUCGCUAGUAAUCGUAGAUCAGAAUGCUACGGUGAAUACGUUCCCGGGUCUUGUA